GGCUGGUCUGAUGGUAGUGGGUUAUCAGAACUUACUAACAUUAGUGUCACUAAAGUUGGUAUACAACCCCCCACUGCUAAAUUUGACUGGCUUUUA
This 96-nucleotide Y RNA is filed under the name Aotus nancymaae (Ma's night monkey). RNAcentral's name for it is "Y RNA (ENSANAG00000003550.1)". It matches the Rfam family "Y RNA". From Rfam's summary of the family: Y RNAs are components of the Ro ribonucleoprotein particle (Ro RNP), in association with Ro60 and La proteins. The Y RNAs and Ro60 and La proteins are well conserved, but the function of the Ro RNP is not known. In humans the RNA component can be one of four small RNAs -- hY1, hY3, hY4 and hY5. Lineage: Eukaryota; Metazoa; Chordata; Mammalia; Primates; Aotidae. The record is from Rfam by way of RNAcentral.